UGGGGAAUUUUCCGCAAUGGGCGAAAGCCUGACGGAGCAACGCCGCGUGGGGGAGGAAGGCUUUUGGGUUGUAAACCCCUUUUCUCAGGGAAGAAGGUCUGACGGUACUAGAGGAAUCAGCAUCGGCUAACUCCGUGCCAGCAGCCGCGGUAAGACGGAGGAUGCAAGCGUUAUCCGGAAUUAUUGGGCGUAAAGCGUCCGUAGGCGGUUCAUCAGGUCAGUUGUUAAAGACUGCAGCUCAACUGUGGGCGAGCAACUGAAACUGAUGAACUAGAGUGCGGUAGGGGUAGAGGGAAUUCCCAGUGUAGCGGUGAAAUGCGUAGAUAUUGGGAAGAACACCAGUGGCGAAGGCGCUCUACUGGGCCGCAACUGACGCUGAGGGACGAAAGCUAGGGGAGCGAAAGGGAUUAGAUACCCGUGUAGUCC
RNAcentral lists this ribosomal RNA (426 nucleotides) under uncultured prokaryote. Its description in RNAcentral is "bacterial SSU rRNA". It matches the Rfam family "Bacterial small subunit ribosomal RNA", at positions 355 to 796 of the family's 1533-position model. The record is from RNAcentral.